CAAUAGCGUAUAUUAAAGUUGUUGCAGUUAAAAAGCUCGUAGUUGGAUUUGUGGCGUACGGUGUGUUCCGGGCACUUGUUGUCUGAGUAACCUGCUGUUGCCAUCCUUGGGUGGAACUUGUGUGGCAUUAGGUUGUCGUGCAGGGGAUGCCCAUCAUUUACUGUGAAAAAAUUAGAGUGUUCAAAGCAGGCUUAUGCCGUUGAAUAUAUUAGCAUGGAAUAAUGAGAUAGGACUUUUUUGCUAUUUUGUUGGUUUGCGCAAAGAGGUAAUGAUUAAUAGGGACAGUUGGGGGUAUUCGUAUUCCAUAGUCAGAGGUGAAAUUCUUGGAUUUUUGGAAGACGAACUACUGCGAAAGCAUUUACCAAGGAUGUUUUCAUUAA
This 380-nucleotide ribosomal RNA is filed under the name uncultured eukaryote. RNAcentral describes it as "partial 18S ribosomal RNA". It matches the Rfam family "Eukaryotic small subunit ribosomal RNA", at positions 592 to 976 of the family's 1831-position model. The record is from RNAcentral.